Molecule: ribosomal RNA, 720 nt
Filed under: uncultured Bacilli bacterium
Lineage: Bacteria; Bacillati; Bacillota; Bacilli
Description: bacterial SSU rRNA
Rfam family: Bacterial small subunit ribosomal RNA
Source: RNAcentral
GUGCCUAAUACAUGCAAGUCGAACGAGUUCUGAUUAUUGAAAGGUGCUUGCAUCUUGAUUUAAUUUUGAACGAGUGGCGGACGGGUGAGUAACACGUGGGUAACCUGCCCUUAAGUGGGGGAUAACAUUUGGAAACAGAUGCUAAUACCGCAUAAAUCCCAAAACCGCAUGGUUCUUGGCUGAAAGAUGGCGUAAGCUAUCGCUUUUGGAUGGACCCGCGGCGUAUUAGCUAGUUGGUGAGGUAACGGCUCACCAAGGCAAUGAUACGUAGCCGAACUGAGAGGUUGAUCGGCCACAUUGGGACUGAGACACGGCCCAAACUCCUACGGGAGGCAGCAGUAGGGAAUCUUCCACAAUGGACGCAAGUCUGAUGGAGCAACGCCGCGUGAGUGAAGAAGGCUUUCGGGUCGUAAAACUCUGUUGUUGGAGAAGAAUGGUCGGCAGAGUAACUGUUGUCGGCGUGACGGUAUCCAACCAGAAAGCCACGGCUAACUACGUGCCAGCAGCCGCGGUAAUACGUAGGUGGCAAGCGUUAUCCGGAUUUAUUGGGCGUAAAGCGAGCGCAGGCGGUUUUUUAAGUCUGAUGUGAAAGCCCUCGGCUUAACCGAGGAAGUGCAUCGGAAACUGGGAAACUUGAGUGCAGAAGAGGACAGUGGAACUCCAUGUGUAGCGGUGAAAUGCGUAGAUAUAUGGAAGAACACCAGUGGCGAAGGCGGCUGU